Oreochromis aureus is the source of this 1019-nucleotide long non-coding RNA. NCBI's taxonomy places the organism in Eukaryota, Metazoa, Chordata, Actinopteri, Cichliformes, Cichlidae. The record is from Ensembl.
CGGGCUCUUGACCUGCUGUCUUUCACUGGUGAUCUGUGUUUCUCCCCUUCAUCUGUUUUUAGGUUUUUCUGCUCAACUUUCCUGUAAGUGACAAGAUGCCGCUGUGGGAUCAACCCUGUCACUAUUCAAAACCCUGAUUCCUGAAAUAUCAGAAGAAGGAUUACACACAUUCUGACCAGUAUCAAGCUAUUUAUUCUGCACAGAGCGUUUCUGGUGUGGCUUAUGCAAAAGAGAAUUGCAACAACACAGCAUGUUUCUCUUCUCCCUUUCACACACAUGCUUUGUACCUCAGGCUCAUCCGAGACAAUCGUAUCCAGUGGUGUGGUGGCCAUGGAUUGAGCCAGCCCUGCAAACCCUGUGGAUGGACGAUGCAGUGGACAGUGGGAGGAAGCAUCCUGAAGCUCUCUUUGCAGACCACUGUGUGUGAUUCUCCACUCGCCGACCAGAAAAGACAAACGGCAGGUCUCAGUUGCAGCACCUCAUCCAUCCAUGUCUGAUCCUGCAUCGGCAGAUUCAGCAACACAGCCAGAGACUUCCUGUAAUCUAUUACAGUUGUUAAAAAAAAAAAAAACGGUCCAGGAACAGGUCACUCAGGUUAAUCCUGUAUAAACAACUGUAAAUAUCGUUUUUUCUUCUUUAAAUAUUGUUGGCUUAUUAGAAAUAUUCUUGUUCAAUUGUUGUUGUUAUUUACUUUAUUGCCAUCAAAUAAAUAUCCAUGUAAAAUUGUCCAAAGUUAGCAUUAUGUUCAUACAUGUUAAAAAUACCUGAAAAUAAAAUGAGUUCAGUGACAGUUAGUGUUUGUUGUAGUCAAUUUAUUAAUAACAAAAAAACUUUUAAACUAAUGCAACACAUAUAACAAUGUCACAAAAUAUUCAAAUAAAUACAUUUCUUAAUGCAUAACUGAUUUUGGAUCUGAUCUUUCAAGAAGUGAAAGUCUGUCCAUCCUCUCACUGAUCGAAUCGAUCGAUUCGGGACCUUGUGAAUCUGAAUCGAAGCCCAACUCGUCUCCACCAAACGCG